ACGGCGAGUGAACAGGGAAGAGCCCAGCACCGAAGCCUGUGGCCAUUUGGUCUCUAGGCAAUGUGGUGUUUAGGUCAGCUCGCGGAGACACUGUCCCACUCUAAGUCCAGCAAUGAGACUGGUAUCUGGACAUGGCCCAAAGAGGGUGAAAGGCCCGUGAGGGUGGGAACUCAGACAUGCCAGUGUCUCCCUGAGUAGACCUUGGAGUCGGGUUGUUUGUGAAUGCAGCCCAAAGUGGGUGGUAAACUCCAUCCAAGGCUAAAUACUAACACGAGUCCGAUAGCGAACAAGUACCGUGAGGGAAAGUUGAAAAGUACUUUGAAGAGAGAGUAAACAGUGCGUGAAACCGCUCAGAGGUAAACGGGUGGAGUUGAACUGCAAAGCUCCGAGAAUUUAACUGGUGAGUGUGGUAUACACUUGGAUAUAUUGGUUGGCCCUCAAAGUCUGCAGAAAACUGUGGAGGCUGUGCUAACGCGCGGCGUGCGUUGAAGCGCUUAUCAAGCGCUGUGCUCUUUGGGGGUACUUCGAACCUGCUUGCCAGUGCAUUUUCUCAGAGUGAUCACCACGACCGGCGCUGCUGUCUGUCUGCUGUGGUUAAACCGGGUGUGUAUCGUCCUUGUGGCUUUGCAUACUCGGGAUGGCAGGUAACCCGAUUGUGCUUGUCACGAUUGGGUGUAAUCAGCUGACCAUAGUAGUACUGUGCAGUGCGUCGGAGACGGCGGCUUGUGGUGCGUACAUGCGUGCAUGUUGAGUGGCGGCYUUKGGUCUGGUUAUACUGUAGCCUGUAAAAACAGGCCAUGUAAUGGCCCAGGGUUGUUCACUUGAUGGUUGCGUAUGGGGCACUUUAAUGGGCCUACAGUCUGUG
Molecule: ribosomal RNA, 865 nt
Filed under: Fellodistomum agnotum
Lineage: Eukaryota; Metazoa; Platyhelminthes; Trematoda; Strigeidida; Fellodistomidae
Description: partial large subunit ribosomal RNA
Source: RNAcentral